RNAcentral lists this long non-coding RNA (679 nucleotides) under Fukomys damarensis (Damara mole-rat). Its description in RNAcentral is "lncRNA (ENSFDAG00000032818.1)". Lineage: Eukaryota; Metazoa; Chordata; Mammalia; Rodentia; Bathyergidae. The record is from RNAcentral.
GGCUGUGUACAUUUGUAUGAUAAAAAUUGAAGUGGGUAAAGGACGGAGAUGAUAUUUGACAGUAUUCCCUCCACUCCACAGCUGGGAACACCUGAGCGCCUGUGAAAUAGCGACCCUGACGCGGAUGCACCGUGGUCCGCGUCGGACAAAGGGCAACACCCUGCUCUGUGUCUGCGUCUUUGUGCUUCCUUAAAUAUCGGGGUAUUAUAUAUCCGAGGGGCAAAAGGCACUAUUCCCAACAGCGAGAGGAAAAUGCCACCGCCCCGUGUCCACGUCCACUCCGAGAAGCGCGCUUCAGGCCUGCCUGGGCUCUGCUCAUAAAAGCGCAAAGCUUAAAUGGCUUGGUGAUUAUUGGCUUUCGCCCUUGGACGGAGAAAUGAGAUCACGGCUUUCACCAAGGGAAGGAACCGCCGCUGCCAGGCUGCUGAGGCUGCCGCUUCCCCUCCCUGCGCGGGUCCCGCAUUACAUCACCGGCGACCGCGGUCAGAGCCGGGAAGGCAGAAACGCCUCCUCCCGGCCCAGAGCAGAAGCGGCUAUCCAGGGGGAGGAAGGCGCCUCACCUUGUCCCCUAUGAGGGACGGAUCAUGCCAUGGCAGCUCCGACGAGCGACAGCGGCGGCAGCGAACAGAGCCCGAGCAGCAGCCCCGGGAACCCGGUGGGAGUCGGGGACAACUCUGCG